CAGAAAAUAGUUUAUAAAAAUUUUAAUUUUGGAGAUUAAUGAUAGAAAGUAUUUUCUUUUUCUGA
Molecule: transfer RNA, 65 nt
Filed under: Aloconota currax
Lineage: Eukaryota; Metazoa; Arthropoda; Insecta; Coleoptera; Staphylinidae
Description: tRNA-Pro
Source: RNAcentral